GCUAUACAUGCAAGUCGAGCGGACCGACGGGAGCUUGCUCCCUUAGGUUAGCGGCGGACGGGUGAGUAACACGUGGGUAACCUGCCUGUAAGACUGGGAUAACUCCGGGAAACCGGGGCUAAUACCGGAUGCUUGAUUGAACCGCAUGGUUCAAUUAUAAAAGGUGGCUUUUAGCUACCACUUACAGAUGGACCCGCGGCGCAUUAGCUAGUUGGUGAGGUAACGGCUCACCAAGGCGACGAUGCGUAGCCGACCUGAGAGGGUGAUCGGCCACACUGGGACUGAGACACGGCCCAGACUCCUACGGGAGGCAGCAGUAGGGAAUCUUCCGCAAUGGACGAAAGUCUGACGGAGCAACGCCGCGUGAGUGAUGAAGGUUUUCGGAUCGUAAAACUCUGUUGUUAGGGAAGAACAAGUACCGUUCGAAUAGGGCGGUACCUUGACGGUACCUAACCAGAAAGCCACGGCUAACUACGUGCCAGCAGCCGCGGUAAUACGUAGGUGGCAAGCGUUGUCCGGAAUUAUUGGGCGUAAAGCGCGCGCAGGCGGUUUCUUAAGUCUGAUGUGAAAGCCCCCGGCUCAACCGGGGAGGGUCAUUGGAAACUGGGGAACUUGAGUGCAGAAGAGGAGAGUGGAAUUCCACGUGUAGCGGUGAAAUGCGUAGAGAUGUGGAGGAACACCAGUGGCGAAGGCGACUCUCUGGUCUGUAACUGACGCUGAGGCGCGAAAGCGUGGGGAGCGAACAGGAUUAGAUACCCUGGUAGUCCACGCCGUAAACGAUGAGUGCUAAGUGUUAGAGGGUUUCCGCCCUUUAGUGCUGCAGCAAACGCAUUAAGCACUCCGCCUGGGGAGUACGGUCGCAAGACUGAAACUCAAAGGAAUUGACGGGGGCCCGCACAAGCGGUGGAGCAUGUGGUUUAAUUCGAAGCAACGCGAAGAACCUUACCAGGUCUUGACAUCCUCUGACAACCCUAGAGAUAGGGCUUCCCCUUCGGGGGCAGAGUGACAGGUGGUGCAUGGUUGUCGUCACCUCGUGUCGUGAGAUGUUGGGUUAAGUCCCGCAACGAGCGCAACCCUUGAUCUUAGUUGCCAGCAUUCACUUGGGCACUCUAAGGUGACUGCCG
Molecule: ribosomal RNA, 1124 nt
Filed under: Bacillus haynesii
Lineage: Bacteria; Bacillati; Bacillota; Bacilli; Caryophanales; Bacillaceae
Description: bacterial SSU rRNA
Rfam family: Bacterial small subunit ribosomal RNA
Source: RNAcentral